AGCUUUGCACAGUGGCAGUAUCGUAGCCAAUGAGGUUUAUCCGAGGCGCGAUUAUUACUCAUGGAAUAUGAAAACACUAAUUGGCUUCAUUCCUGGUUUUUCGAGGAAUGGCUUUCAACUGUGACCUCUUAGGU
Saimiri boliviensis boliviensis (Bolivian squirrel monkey) is the source of this 134-nucleotide small nuclear RNA. Its record names the gene U4. It matches the Rfam family "U4 spliceosomal RNA". Rfam says of the family: U4 small nuclear RNA (U4 snRNA) is a component of the major U2-dependent spliceosome. The structure of U4 snRNA from yeast and human has been reported. U4 snRNA presents a k-turn RNA motif in the 5p-SL related to recognition of Snu13 protein. NCBI's taxonomy places the organism in Eukaryota, Metazoa, Chordata, Mammalia, Primates, Cebidae. The record is from Ensembl.